AUACGGAGGGUGCAAGCGUUAAUCGGAAUUACUGGGCGUAAAGCGCGUGUAGGCGGCUUGGUAAGUCGGGUGUGAAAUCCCGGGGCUCAACCCCGGAACUGCACCCGAAACUAUAUGGCUAGAGUCCCGGAGGGGGUGGCGGAAUUUCCGGUGUAGAGGUGAAAUUCGUAGAUAUCGGAAGGAACACCAGUGGCGAAGGCGGCCACCUGGACGGUGACUGACGCUGAGAUGCGAAAGCGUGGGGAGCAAACAGGAUUAGAAACCCCAGUAGUCC
This 274-nucleotide ribosomal RNA is filed under the name uncultured bacterium. RNAcentral describes it as "partial 16S ribosomal RNA". It matches the Rfam family "Bacterial small subunit ribosomal RNA", at positions 523 to 796 of the family's 1533-position model. The record is from RNAcentral.